GGCGGCGUAGCUCAGUCGGCAGAGCAAGCGGCUCAUAAUCGCUGGGUCACUGGUUCAAGUCCAGUCGCCGCCACCU
RNAcentral lists this transfer RNA (76 nucleotides) under Anaerolineae bacterium. Its description in RNAcentral is "tRNA-Met". It matches the Rfam family "tRNA". Rfam says of the family: Transfer RNA (tRNA) molecules are approximately 80 nucleotides in length. Their secondary structure includes four short double-helical elements and three loops (D, anti-codon, and T loops). The record is from RNAcentral. Lineage: Bacteria; Bacillati; Chloroflexota; Anaerolineae.